This 69-nucleotide transfer RNA is filed under the name Synapturanus sp. MNHN-RA-2020.0087. RNAcentral describes it as "tRNA-Pro". The record is from RNAcentral. Lineage: Eukaryota; Metazoa; Chordata; Amphibia; Anura; Microhylidae.
CAGGACAUAGUUUAAUAAGAAUAUUGGCUUUGGGGGCCUGAGGUGGGGGGGGGUACUCCUCUGUCCUGA